RNAcentral lists this transfer RNA (72 nucleotides) under Aedes aegypti (yellow fever mosquito). It matches the Rfam family "tRNA". From Rfam's summary of the family: Transfer RNA (tRNA) molecules are approximately 80 nucleotides in length. Their secondary structure includes four short double-helical elements and three loops (D, anti-codon, and T loops). The record is from Rfam by way of RNAcentral. Lineage: Eukaryota; Metazoa; Arthropoda; Insecta; Diptera; Culicidae.
GGCUCGGUAGCUUAGUUGGUAAAGCGCUCGUCUAGCAAAGAAAAGUCCUGGGUUCAAAUCCCAGCCGAGCAC